UUGAUUAAACCGCGCCAAUCACAAAACAGAAUUAGUGGUUUGUACUAAAACCACUAAUUCUGUUUUGUGAUUGGCGCGGUUUAAUCAA
Paramuricea clavata is the source of this 88-nucleotide non-coding RNA. Lineage: Eukaryota; Metazoa; Cnidaria; Anthozoa; Malacalcyonacea; Plexauridae. The record is from the annotation of a GenBank genome assembly.